This 925-nucleotide ribosomal RNA is filed under the name Bacillus sp. (in: firmicutes). Its description in RNAcentral is "bacterial SSU rRNA". It matches the Rfam family "Bacterial small subunit ribosomal RNA", at positions 47 to 952 of the family's 1533-position model. Lineage: Bacteria; Bacillati; Bacillota; Bacilli; Caryophanales; Bacillaceae. The record is from RNAcentral.
CCUAAUACAUGCAAGUCGAGCGGACAUUUGGGAGCUUGCUCCCAAAUGUUAGCGGCGGACGGGUGAGUAACACGUGGGCAACCUGCCUGUAAGACUGGGAUAACUUCGGGAAACCGGAGCUAAUACCGGAUAACAUAUGAGACCACAUGGUCUUAUAUUAAAAGAUGGCUUUUAGCUAUCACUUACAGAUGGGCCCGCGGCGCAUUAGCUAGUUGGUGAGGUAACGGCUCACCAAGGCGACGAUGCGUAGCCGACCUGAGAGGGUGAUCGGCCACACUGGGACUGAGACACGGCCCAGACUCCUACGGGAGGCAGCAGUAGGGAAUCUUCCGCAAUGGACGAAAGUCUGACGGAGCAACGCCGCGUGAGCGAAGAAGGCCUUCGGGUCGUAAAGCUCUGUUGUUAGGGAAGAACAAGUAUCGUUCGAAUAGGGCGGUACCUUGACGGUACCUAACCAGAAAGCCACGGCUAACUACGUGCCAGCAGCCGCGGUAAUACGUAGGUGGCAAGCGUUAUCCGGAAUUAUUGGGCGUAAAGCGCGCGCAGGCGGUCCUUUAAGUCUGAUGUGAAAUCUCGCGGCUCAACCGCGAGCGGUCAUUGGAAACUGGGGGACUUGAGUGCAGAAGAGAAGAGCGGAAUUCCACGUGUAGCGGUGAAAUGCGUAGAGAUGUGGAGGAACACCAGUGGCGAAGGCGGCUCUCUGGUCUGUAACUGACGCUGAGGCGCGAAAGCGUGGGGAGCGAACAGGAUUAGAUACCCUGGUAGUCCACGCCGUAAACGAUGAGUGCUAAGUGUUAGAGGGUUUCCGCCCUUUAGUGCUGCAGCAAACGCAUUAAGCACUCCGCCUGGGGAGUACGGUCGCAAGACUGAAACUCAAAGGAAUUGACGGGGGCCCGCACAAGCGGUGGAGCAUGUGGUUUAAUUC